GGCAGCAUGGCUGAGUGGUUUUCUGGCGAUGCCUUGCUAAGGCAUUGAGCUGUGCCCGCGUAAGAUCGAAUCCUGCUGUUGUCG
Molecule: transfer RNA, 84 nt
Organism: Vitrella brassicaformis
Lineage: Eukaryota; Vitrellaceae
Rfam family: tRNA
About the family: Transfer RNA (tRNA) molecules are approximately 80 nucleotides in length. Their secondary structure includes four short double-helical elements and three loops (D, anti-codon, and T loops).
Source: Rfam